UACGGAGGGAGCUAGCGUUGUUCGGAAUUACUGGGCGUAAAGGGCUCGUAGGCGGCCAACUAAGUCAGACGUGAAAUCCCCAGGCUUAACCUGGGAACUGCGUCUGAUACUGGAUGGCUUGAAUUCGGGAGAGGGAUGCAGAAUUCCAGGUGUAGCGGUGAAAUGCGUAGAUAUCUGGAGGAAUACCGGUGGCGAAGGCGGCAUCCUGGACCGAGAUUGACGCUGAUGAGCGAAAGCUAGGGGAGCAAACGGG
RNAcentral lists this ribosomal RNA (253 nucleotides) under uncultured bacterium. RNAcentral's name for it is "partial 16S ribosomal RNA". It matches the Rfam family "Bacterial small subunit ribosomal RNA", at positions 524 to 776 of the family's 1533-position model. The record is from RNAcentral.